This is a long non-coding RNA of Arvicola amphibius (Eurasian water vole), 1772 nucleotides long. RefSeq lists it as uncharacterized. The record is from RefSeq and is a predicted model, not a curated record. The transcript has 2 exons. Lineage: Eukaryota; Metazoa; Chordata; Mammalia; Rodentia; Cricetidae.
AGGCUGCUAAUGCAUUGUCACUGCUGUGUGGCACCAGAAAACUGAACAUUGAGGCCGGACUGUAGAAGUUAACCAUCUGGAACGUUUGCAGGAAAGUAUUCAUUUGCUUUUCUUCAGUGCCCUGGGGACAGGGUGGCUGCUGGCUUAGAGGCCUGGGAAACCAACACAGAAGAGAGUGAAUAAGCGAGGACGUUACCCGGUAGAAUCUUGAGACUGCAUCUACAGCGAUGUUCCUUUCCAGCGUCACUGCGUCCCCUUUAUAUUAGAAGCUAUUUCACCCGUGCGGUGAGCAGCCCACUUCACGCAACACCAUUUCAUUGAAAAUCUGCUGCUGUGGAUACCACCAGCCAUUAUGUCCAACAACAGAGGGGUAAACACAGAAAACAUAGCUUAUAGACAUAAAGAAGAGUGAAGUCAGCCGGGCGGCGGUGGCACACGCCUUUAAUCCCAGCACUCGGGAGGCAGAGGCAGGCGGGUCUCUGUGAGUUCGAGACCAGCCUGGUCUACAGAGUGAAUUCCAGGACAGCUAGAGACACACAGAGAAACCCUACCUUGAAAAAACAAACAAAAUAAUAAACAAACAAACAAGCUAUACUACUUACAGGAAGUUAUCUGCAACUGGUUGGAGGUUACAUUAACUAGUUAAGGUAGGCCCAGAAUGGCAUGUGUUAUAUCUUUUCUCUCAUUUAUGGCUCCUGAGUGUUUUAUAGUUACAUGAAAUCAUGCAUAUAUCAAUGAAAAUAGAAGUAAAAUUAGCUAGAGAGCAAAGGGCACAAAUGAGAGGGGUAGGAGCAUGAAAAGGGAGAGACGGGAGUAGGGAGGCUUGCUCAAUGUGCAAUGUAUACCUCUCUGAAAAGUUGCCACACUAAAGUAGAGAAAAGAACUUGCUGUAGAACACCUGCCCCUGUGGCACAAAGAGAAUUGGAGACGUCUCUGGAAUUGGAGAUGCCCCCUCACUUCCUCUCUGUUCUAAGAAGUGCUUGGCAGUCAGUGAGGACGACGGGCAUAUUGUCAGGCUGAAGGAAGUGAAUGGUUUCUGGAGUAACGUUUUAUGCUGCUGCUGGGCGCAUAGUGGAAUGGUUGUCAACUUCCACUCUGUGGUCCCAUUCACCAGCAUUGUAGAAAGUGGGUUGGGGUACUUAAAAUGGAACAUAAUAAUGAAAAGAUGGAAUGUAGCUAUUAGAUUUUUUAUUUAUUUCAGGAAUGGCAGGAUAUGUAUUUGGAUGUACAAAACUGUUUACUGGACAGUGUAUUCUACAUAAUCUAAGAUACUUGGAUAUCAACCUUAAUAAAUGGACUUUCUGGGGAUUGAGCAUCAGCUGUUGGUUAAGAGCUUAGAUUGCUUUUGUAGAGAGCUACAGUUUGGCUUCAAACUGUGUGGGGCUCAGAACUAUCUGGAACUCCAGCUCCAGGGUCUCCAGCACCAUCUUCUAACAGCUGUGUGGGGCUCAGAACUAUCUGGAACUCCAGCUCCAGGGUCUCCAGCACCAUCUUCUAACAGCUGUGUGGGGCUCAGAACUAUCUGGAACUCCAGCUCCAGGGUCUCUAGCACCAUCUUCUAACAGCUGUGUGGGGCUCAGAACUAUCUGGAACUCCAGCUCCAGGGUCUCCAGCACCAUCUUCUAACAGCUGUGUGGGGCUCAGAACUAUCUGGAACUCCAGCUCCAGGGUCUCCAACACCAUCUUUUGUCCCCGCUGAUGCUGUGCUCAUGUGCACUAAGACUUUCACACACUCAUAAGCAUAAUUAAAAAUAAAAUAUUUAAGGAGUGAA